RNAcentral lists this ribosomal RNA (253 nucleotides) under uncultured bacterium. Its description in RNAcentral is "partial 16S ribosomal RNA". It matches the Rfam family "Bacterial small subunit ribosomal RNA", at positions 524 to 776 of the family's 1533-position model. The record is from RNAcentral.
UACGUAGGGUGCAAGCGUUAAUCGGAAUUACUGGGCGUAAAGCGUGCGCAGGCGGUUAUGUAAGACAGAUGUGAAAUGCCCGGGCUUAACCUGGGAACUGCAUUUGUGACUGCAUGGCUAGAGUUUGGCAGAGGGGGGUAGAAUUCCACGUGUAGCAGUGAAAUGCGUAGAUAUGUGGAGGAACACCGGUGGCGAAGGCGGCUCGCUGGGCCAGUUCUGACACUCAUCCGCGAAAGCGUGGGGAGCAAACAGG